This 661-nucleotide ribosomal RNA is filed under the name uncultured bacterium. Its description in RNAcentral is "bacterial SSU rRNA". It matches the Rfam family "Bacterial small subunit ribosomal RNA", at positions 141 to 800 of the family's 1533-position model. The record is from RNAcentral.
GGACAACUUUUGGAAACGAAAGCUAAUACCGGAUAGGAAGUAAUUUAAAGGAGCCUCAAAGCUCCGCCAAAGGAAGGGACUGCGUCUGAUUAGCUAGUUGGUAGGGUAAUGGCCUACCAAGGCGACGAUCGGUAGCCGGACUGAGAGGUUGAACGGCCACACUGGGACUGAGACACGGCCCAGACUCCUACGGGAGGCAGCAGUAGGGAAUCUUGCACAAUGGGCGAAAGCCUGAUGCAGCAAUGCCGCGUGAGUGAAGAAAGGUUUUUCGGAUUGUAAAACUCUGUUGUAUGGGAAGAACGGCUAUAAGAGGAAAUGCUUAUAGUGUGACGGUACCAUAUCAGCAAGGGACGGCUAACUACGUGCCAGCAGCCGCAAGUAAUACGUAGGUCCCGAGCGUUAUCCGGAAUUAUUUGGGCGUAAAGGGAGCGCAGGUGGUUAUGUAAGUCUGGUGUGAAAUUUUUGGGCUCAACCCAAAAAGGUCAUUGGAAACUGCAUAACUUGAGAGCAGGAGAGGUAAGUGGAAUUCCUAGUGUAGCGGUGAAAUGCGUAGAGAUUAGGAGGAACACCAGUGGCGAAGCCGGCUUACUGGACUGCAUCUGACACUGAGGCUCGAAAGCGUGGGUAGCAAACAGGAUUACGAUACCCUGGUAGUCCACGC